GCUCAGAUUGAACGCUGGCGGCAGGCCUAACACAUGCAAGUCGAGCGGUAGCACAGAGAGCUUGCUCUCGGGUGACGAGCGGCGGACGGGUGAGUAAUGUCUGGGAAACUGCCUGAUGGAGGGGGAUAACUACUGGAAACGGUAGCUAAUACCGCAUAAUGUCGCAAGACCAAAGUGGGGGACCUUCGGGCCUCAUGCCAUCAGAUGUGCCCAGAUGGGAUUAGCUAGUAGGUGGGGUAACGGCUCACCUAGGCGACGAUCCCUAGCUGGUCUGAGAGGAUGACCAGCCACACUGGAACUGAGACACGGUCCAGACUCCUACGGGAGGCAGCAGUGGGGAAUAUUGCACAAUGGGCGCAAGCCUGAUGCAGCCAUGCCGCGUGUGUGAAGAAGGCCUUCGGGUUGUAAAGCACUUUCAGCGGGGAGGAAGGCGGUGAGGUUAAUAACCUCACCGAUUGACGUUACCCGCAGAAGAAGCACCGGCUAACUCCGUGCCAGCAGCCGCGGUAAUACGGAGGGUGCAAGCGUUAAUCGGAAUUACUGGGCGUAAAGCGCACGCAGGCGGUCUGUCAAGUCGGAUGUGAAAUCCCCGGGCUCAACCUGGGAACUGCAUUCGAAACUGGCAGGCUAGAGUCUUGUAGAGGGGGGUAGAAUUCCAGGUGUAGCGGUGAAAUGCGUAGAGAUCUGGAGGAAUACCGGUGGCGAAGGCGGCCCCCCUGGACAAAGACUGACGCUCAGGUGCGAAAGCGUGGGGAGCAAACAGGAUUAGAUACCCUGGUAGUCCACGCCGUAAACGAUGUCGAUUUGGAGGUUGUGCCCUUGAGGCGUGGCUUCCGGAGCUAACGCGUUAAAUCGACCGCCUGGGGAGUACGGCCGCAAGGUUAAAACUCAAAUGAAUUGACGGGGGCCCGCACAAGCGGUGGAGCAUGUGGUUUAAUUCGAUGCAACGCGAAGAACCUUACCUGGUCUUGACAUCCACAGAACUUUCCAGAGAUGGAUUGGUGCCUUCGGGAACUGUGAGACAGGUGCUGCAUGGCUGUCGUCAGCUCGUGUUGUGAAAUGUUGGGUUAAGUCCCGCAACGAGCGCAACCCUUAUCCUUUGUUGCCAGCGGUCCGGCCGGGAACUCAAAGGAGACUGCCAGUGAUAAACUGGAGGAAGGUGGGGAUGACGUCAAGUCAUCAUGGCCCUUACGACCAGGGCUACACACGUGCUACAAUGGCGUAUACAAAGAGAAGCGACCUCGCGAGAGCAAGCGGACCUCAUAAAGUAUGUCGUAGUCCGGAUUGGAGUCUGCAACUCGACUCCAUGAAGUCGGAAUCGCUAGUAAUCGUAGAUCAGAAUGCUACGGUGAAUACGUUCCCGGGCCUUGUACACACCGCCCGUCACACCAUGGGAGUGGGUUGCAAAAGAAGUAGGUAGCUUAACCUUCGGGAGGGCGCUUACCACUUUGUGAUUCAU
This 1459-nucleotide ribosomal RNA is filed under the name uncultured organism. RNAcentral describes it as "SSU rRNA". It matches the Rfam family "Bacterial small subunit ribosomal RNA". The record is from RNAcentral.